UACAGAGGGUGCAAGCGUUAAUCGGAAUUACUGGGCGUAAAGCGUGCGUAGGCGGUUAUGUAAGUCGGGUGUGAAAGCCCCGGGCUCAACCUGGGAAUUGCAUUCGAGACUGCAUAGCUAGGGUGCGGAAGAGGGAAGCGGAAUUUCCGGUGUAGCGGUGAAAUGCGUAGAUAUCGGAAGGAACACCAGUGGCGAAAGCGGCUUCCUGGUCCAGCACCGACGUUCAGGCACGAAAGCGUGGGGAGCAAACAGG
Molecule: ribosomal RNA, 253 nt
Filed under: uncultured bacterium
Lineage: Bacteria
Description: partial 16S ribosomal RNA
Rfam family: Bacterial small subunit ribosomal RNA
Source: RNAcentral